This 369-nucleotide ribosomal RNA is filed under the name uncultured organism. RNAcentral describes it as "bacterial SSU rRNA". It matches the Rfam family "Bacterial small subunit ribosomal RNA", at positions 526 to 896 of the family's 1533-position model. The record is from RNAcentral.
CGUACUGUGCGAACGUUAUUCGGAAUCACUGGGCUUAAAGGGUGCGUAGGCGGCAAUUCAAGUCAGGUGUGAAAUGCCUGAGCUCAACUGAGGCAUUGCGCUUGAAACUGAACUGCUUGAGUAUCCCUGGGGUGUGCGGAACUGCCAGUGGAGCGGUGAAAUGUGUUGAUAUUGGCAGGAACACCGGAGGCGAAAGCGGCACACUGGGGGAUAACUGACGCUGAUGCACGAAAGCCAGGGGAGCGAACGGGAUUAGAUACCCCGGUAGUCCUGGCCGUAAACGAUGAGCACUGGGCGGGAGGGGGUUUCCCUUUUCUGCCGUAGCGAAAGCGUUAAGUGCUCCGCCUGGGGAGUAUGGUCGCAAGGCUG